Molecule: long non-coding RNA, 6984 nt
Filed under: Canis lupus familiaris (dog)
Lineage: Eukaryota; Metazoa; Chordata; Mammalia; Carnivora; Canidae
Description: lncRNA (ENSCAFG00000059357.1)
Rfam family: Maternally expressed 3 conserved region 2 (bases 484-588)
Source: RNAcentral
CGCGCCUUGGCCGCGCUGGCCUCGGCCGCAGCUCCUCGGGAGAACCGGGGCGCCCACGCGAGAAUCUCCCCACCUGGGUGUCUUCAGGGAUGACAUCAUCCGUUCACCUCCUUGUCUUCAAGGACCACCUCUCGAUGCCACGCUGCUGCCAAGAGGACAGUAGGAGCUCUGACCCCUGGAUGGCACCGGCAUACCAAGCAGCCACUGGCAGAGACCCCCCCCCCCCCAGGGAUGAGGAUGACGAAGGAUGAAGAGGACCAGAACCGACCAGCCAGCUCUCCCUCUUGGCUGAAUGCUUAAACCGAUGCCCUAGUGAGGGGGCAUUGGUCAUUAACCCUUGACCUUUGCUAUGCUUAUGCCUUGAUGCUAUGAAUACUUUCCUAUAAGUCUCUGCUUGUGUUUAUGUGCCAGCAACCUGGAGUGUUUCCCUCCCCAACCAGUUGUCAGUCGUUCUCCCAUGACAACCCUGUGGUUGCCUGUAUGAUGGCCUGAACGGAAGGAUCCCUUUGGGAACUUCUCAGGAGGGGGACCUGGGCCAAGGGCUUGACCAGCAUCUCACUGGCAAUUCCAAGGCUCAGGGUGGGCUUCUGGAAUGAGCAUGAGCCCCGAUGCCAUGCUACCGAACUGCCAAGGGCAUCCCUACCUCUUCUGAGAUCUCCCUGUCCUUUCUUCUCCAAUUUCCUCUUCAACCCACUGCUUCCUGACUUGUUCUGCUCCGUUGAACGACUCUAACUCAGGUCAGCCCUGUCCUCGGCACACUGGCCGUGACCUGGCUGGGUCGGCUGAAGAACCGGAUGGAAGAGGCAGAAAGAAGCCCCCAGAGGAGCGCCGCCCUGCACCACCCAGCCUUCCUUGCUGAUGGUCACCUGGCAUCUCAUGCCCAGCCCUGUGCCUCUUCACUUCUUCCUGCUUUGGGUUGGAAGACGCCAUCUGGAAUCCUCCGUGGAAGGAGAGACCUGGACGCACGACUUAGCACCCUCCAGCUUUCAAAUCGGUCCUGUGAUGUGUGAGCAGAUGUCCCGAGGCCUCAGAUGGAUGGGACGUUUUGGAUCAGGACUGGCGGAGAAUCCUCCCUCGGUUUUUCUUCAAUGGGGCAAUUAGAUUCCGUGAUCCGAGCAGCAGACUGGUCCCCACGCUCUUCUGGGGCUCCCCUUGUGCCCACCACAAACUAACCGCGGCUCAAAGGCCAUCAAGACCACUUGGGGAGGGUGGGUCCCUCCCUGGAAGGUAGGAGCCCGCCCUACCUUCCAGAACACGCUCUGCCCUCAGCAGGGCCUGCUUCUUCCCGCCGAGCCCUCUACUAUAGCACCGAGCGCUGUUUGCCUGCGUCAGAAUCAGUCACGCACACGUCUGUCCCCGCAGCGAGGCUUGGGAGGCCAGCAGUGACUUCCAGCAUCAGUUCAAUCCAUCCAUCCAUUCAUCCGUGCGUUUGGCCUCCAUUCUUGACCUGGUGCUUCGGCCUCUCCCUUCCCCGAAAGCGAACCUUUCCAUUUUGGGCGGGCUGUGUAGCGCCAUGGGCUGUGGUCAUGAAGCGAACGCCCGUAUUAGAGCUUUCUCCUCCGGGGUCACUGCUCUGAGCACGUCCCAGCUGGACUCAUCUGCCACUGUCACCCACACGGCUUCUGUCCCCAUGGCGCUUUCCCAGGCAUCCCCCACCGCGACGGAUCCAGGGCCGGGUCCGAGAGGGCCCUCCAGCCGUGAGCGGAGGUGUCCUCCCCAGGCCGCCCUGCCUGGUGCAUGGUCCCUGCCAUGAGCUUUGCCUUCAGCCUCUCUGCUUCCUCCACCAGAUGGCAGUGGUUGUAAUUCACCCCCUCAUUCCUUCAUCCCUUCAUUCCUUCACCACCGACCAACAUUUUUCUCAAAUCAGCUGGUGCUAUACUAGAGCUGGCUCCCAAGGACUCUUCCCGAUAUCUCCUUCUGGGGGAAAAGACGAGCAUGUCUCCAAGAGGCCGUGUUUGUGUGCCAGCAAAAGGCGCGACCCUUGGUCCGGCUCCCAACUUCCGGAGCCGAGUUCUGGUGGAAGUUUGAUUGCCUUCCCCGACUCUGUUCCUUACAAAACUAGGUUGAUUGGUAAUCAGCAAACUGUGUCCCUGAGUGUUCAGAAAUCAUAAUCUGUGUCCUCAAGAGGCCAGAGUGACGGCUGGGGGCUCUGGGAUGAACGGCCGCUUCUGGCCGUGAGCAGGCUUUUAAGUCAUUAGGACACCCUGGUCUUGCCACGGUGGUGAUCUAAAGAGCGGUUCCUGUCCCUUCGGAAAUUAGUUAAUGCUGGGCUCGAUUUAGAGAAAAUUGGGGGAGAUGAUUGCUCACGGAGGUGACAGGGAACAUGCCCUGUGCGGGGGUCUGUGCAGAAUUAUCCAUUGGCAGACCUGGGCAUCCAAGGCACGUGGCACUUUGCAAACCCCGGACGUGGCCCCAAGCAUUCACGUGGGUCGCGGGCCAGGCGGGACCCCCUAUAGCUCCCUGCUGCCCCUGUGGGACAAGGCAGGGGUCCUGGGGCCUCUGCUAGGAAUUCUGCAGUUUAUUCAUUGCACCGGAGGCGGGGGUAGUGGGCAAAGCCAGGACCCUGGAGCUGGACAAACGUGUGUGGUUUAAACUGACCUUGACAGCUUUGAGUCUGUCUUCUGGGGGGACAAUGGCACCCACCUCGCAGGGCUGUUGUGAGGACUUUUGUAACCAGGGCUUUGAACUGGGAUUCUGAAGGCGGUGCGCGUGCCCCCGGGGGGCUGUGGGCUGGGGGCUGGAAGGCGGGAGGGGCAGCCCGACUCAGCAGGUUAGAGGAAAUCACUUUGCCGAACAUGCAGGAGGCAUUGUGGAAUAGAGUGCUCAAUUUGUAGGACACGGUAAGCUCAGACAGGAGUAACCUCCGCAGGGACCUUCAUGCUGGGGGGAUGGGAGCCUCUUUGGGCAACACCUUUGGUCCCCCCCUGGGGUACGCGUUCACCCUCACCUCUGUAAAAGGUUGGAAGCACCCGCUGUGUCUCGCCUACCGCUGUGUCUGGCCUGUGGGCGGCACUUCCACAUGUCCCCCUGCAAGAGACCUCUCCUGGCCGUGUCCUCCCUCCCGAAACAUUAGGCAUCAGCCAUCAAAGACACUGCGAUGUCCCCUCUCUCAAUUAACAACAGUUGGGCUCAGAUGCCAGCAGCCCGGAUGCCUAACACAGUACCAAGCCAGUGGUAGGGGUCGCCUUCCAGUUUUGUUGAACGGAUGCAUGGGUGAAUGGCCAAACACCGAAUUGUAACCAAAUGCAAGUGGCAGAUGUUAAAACCCUCACCAAGAGUUUGUAUUUCCUCCUGAUUAACCUGUUAACAAUCGUUGUAUUGUAUCUUACGGACUCCUGUAUGACGUGUGUUGUUUGAAAACCGGGAUUCUCGUUUUGGGUGUCUUGCGACGAAACCUUAGCUGUCUGUGUUUUGUGUUAGAAAUCAGAGCCCGGCAGACCCGGGGGCCACUUAACCGACCGGGCCGCGGUAGGCGAGCCCCCUUUCCUCUCUGACCCUCGGUCUCCUUUUCUCUGAUGGGUUCCCAGAAAGCUUCCUCUGCUGGGUGGUUGUGAGGCCGAGGGCUGGGUCCGCUAAAACGCAGCUGAUCAGAUGCUGGCUCUCAGUGAGAAUGGUUGUAUAUUGGGGGUUGUCUGGAAAGUUCCAAGCCCUUGCUGGUUCUCAGUGAGUAGAGAGCAUUGAGUUUAUGCUAAGAUUGUAUUUCAACAGUCAAUGGAACGUAUAAGACAGAGGCUGAGUGGUCUGCAAGUAUUUAGCGAGUUGGCCCAGGGUAGAUACUGGUUUGAUUAAUGAGUGACGGCUUCUUUCCUUCCUUGGAGCCCCCCCACAGCCCCACUUUCCAUCCUGGCUGCUGCUCCUCACGUGGAGGUUGCAGCUGGCCUGGGUGGGUGACUGCUUUGAGUUUGCUGUACCUGUCGAUGCCGUGUCUGGUUUUGUGGGGGCUUCUGCAGACAUCCGUGUGUGCCCUGGGUCGAGUCUGCUAGGCAGGGAGAGCUGGGAUGGGUGAGGAGGGUGACAUCUUUGAGGACAAAAGCUCCUUCUUCUACCCUUUAGGCAAAAGGCCUGUGAUCCUAAUUUCCUCACAUCCCUCUUCCUUCUUUCUUGGGCUGUAAGGUGAAGAAAUCGGUCUGUGGUCCCGUCUGCGGGCCUGGAACCGAGCUGGGGUGGGGCUGUCAGCCACCACACCCUGCGAGCUUCCGUGGGCCCAGUUUCCAGAUGAGGAAGUUGAGGUUCAGAGACGCCUGGAGAUCGGAGCCAGGAGGACACAGUCAGUCUUUCGUGAGGAGCUGGUGCUCCUUGACCCUGGCAGCCCAGCUCUCCAGUUACUUUGGCCGUGCCUGGCUGUGGUCCUGCAGGGGGCACAGGCCUCCAGAGCUCACUUGGGUGCAUGUGGGACAUGGAGGCUUGGCUGGAUUAGAUAAGAUAUUACGGGGUUAUUUGGGGUUGGGGGGUCUCAUCAGGAGACCUCUGAGUUUUUUUCCUGGCUCUUGUUCUGUUCUGUCAUCCCCAAACGCCAUCCCGGGUGGGCUCGUGUUCUGCACCCCGAGCCUCCCUCUUGCCCUGUCCUCCCUCUGCAGAAGCCUCACUGGCCUCCCCUUCUUUCUGCCUCCCGCUUUCACAGGCUCGGUGGCCCUCGCUGCUGUCAACCUGGCCACUUCUUGCAGCAGCCUGAGUUUUUAUUGUGAUGUCUGGCCUCCACCUCUGUGUACCUGCUGGUAGGAGUGCCAGCACACACACUCCGAUAUUCCCCUCCCUGGGGCUUUGCUGAGGGGGCCCUUGCUGUGUCACUGUUGCUGUCUGCCCCAUGGACAUCCCACAUCCUUGAGAACGUGCCUGAGCAGAGUGAGGGCCUUGCCUCAGUGCUCCCGAGGGGGCCCCAUGGAAAGGACAGGUGGAUAGGACCCCUCUCCCAGAGGACUCUUGAGUCUUGUGUUCAGGUGUCUGCUCCCCGAUGGGCUUCAGGCUCCUUGAAGCUUAGGCCUGUGUGUGACCCAGGAUGAGGGACUCCCCUAGGGGCCCAGUGUUUACACAUCACCAUCCCCUUGAAAUGGGCAGGGCUGGGUCCCCGUUUCCUGAGGGCAGGUGAGGAAGUUGAGGCUCAGUGGGGUCACAGCCAAGCUGUACUUGAUCCUUUACUCUGACAUCUAUGCUUCUCUGGCCCUUGACAGCACUGUUAACUGCACUAGUGGGCGCCUAAUACAUGCUCACUGACUGACAAGGCAGGGUUCCCAAUGCACGUGAAGAACUGAAUGGAUUGUUGGCUGACCCGCAAGUUGAAUCCAUGUGUGUUUAAGAGGCAAGUGUGCUUUCUUGGCACAGACUCUAGGGGGCGAAUCCUGAGGGUCUCACCCCCGAGCAGAUGCAGCCCAGAGGGCAACCACCGGAGGGUCUCUCCUGAAGGAAAUGUCUGUCUUCUGCCCAUGUUUGGAAGUAUUUAUGUCUAGAAUAAAACUUCAUUUAGGCUAAAGUGUCCUCGUUUGUGUUGUGGCCCAAGUCAUUUCGGUAACGUGGCCUUUGGUAAUUCCCGGGCUGGAGGGAUGCUCUGGUCAUGCCCACACCCUCUCUGUGGUUGGCUGCGGGCCCUGGGGGUGUGGAUGUCUCCACCUGAAAUGUCUUUGUCUGCACCAUUGGUGACAAUUCACCUGUAAGGCACAUGCCAAGUCUGAGAUGCAGCCGUGGGCACCCAAAAAACGAGGGCUGGGGACUGGACUCCACACCUUGGUUCCUUCCAUCUGCCCUCACCCCCAAAGCGCAGUACAUGGGUACAAGUUGAAGGAUGGGACUCUGGAGGUCUUGCUCUUUUGAAUUCUGGUCCUGGUGUCACCUUUGGCCGGCGCAGGGGCCUUGGGCAGGUUACAGGCACCUCGAGUCUUGAUUUUCCCACCUGUAGAACGGGUGCCGAGGGACAGUAUCCGUUCAAAGGAUGCCGGUAAGCACCGAGUGCAGGCUGCGUGCCUUGCUGCACCCCAUAUGCUGGCUCUGAGAGUCAUGGUCUGGGGUCGAGGCCACUCUGGUGCCUGCGUGUGUGUGGCCUGGCCAAGUUUGCUCACCUGUAACCUGGAAAUAGUCAUGUUUACUUGGCAUGGUUAUUGUGGGAUUCAAUGAGAUUGUUUAUGUGAAAAUAAAUGCUUUGUUACCUGGUGCACAGGUGGCCUCACCCCUUGUCCUCCGAUGGGCCCUGGGUUUGGCCACAGAGCCCUGCAGCCCGUGGGCCUGGUGGCAAAAGCCCCGUGCUUCCUGAACUACGGUGGCCCACCUGGCUGUGGCGCGGAGUGGAGGGCGUCAGGGAAGCACGCGGCCAGCUCUGGGGAGGAGUGAGGGAGGGAAGGUUUGCUUUUACAUACAGAGAUUUCACAAGUUCAGAGGGGGUAGGGCUGAGGCCAGAGGUGGGGGUGGUGGUCAGGGAGACUUUUAGAACCUCCCACCCCCACCCCCCCACCCACCGAGGAAGAGGAGGGAGAACUUUAGAGAACAUCCAAGUUUAAUUGGCAGGGGUGUGGACGGGAUAGCUGGGGUGGCGUUUAGAAAGGCUGAGAGUUCCGGAUUCCGGGUCAGUGAGGUGAGAACUCUCAGAGGUCAUGGGUGCAGGAGGGUGUCAGGACUAAGGGCACGCUUCUGGAAAUCUCUGCAGGUGGGGGAGACUGCAGGGGGGUUGGUGGUGAUGUGUGGGAGCCCCGCGGUUGAGGGGCACUAGGUAGAGGGGCAGGAGCUGGUGCCUGGGUGCUCCCCUGGCCCCCCAUGGCUGCUGGGAGCCAGGGCCUUUGCCCCGAGUGGUCCGGUGGUGUUCAGUCCCGGGUGCCUCUCUCCUCUCCUCGCCCCCCCGGCCUGCCUGUCUGCAUGAGAACUCUUGUCAGCCAGUGAGACCGGGAGCAGGCCCCUUCAUCUGCACCUGUGUCUCUCUCAGCCUCCGCAGCCACAGGGACACCCUGCACACGUUCCCGCGGGACAGGCCGGACCCAAAGACUCUGGACCAGGGCCGCCCCC